GACGAACGCUGGCGGCGUGCCUAAUACAUGCAAGUAGAACGCUGAAGAGAGGAGCUUGCUCUUCUUGGAUGAGUUGCGAACGGGUGAGUAACGCGUAGGUAACCUGCCUGGUAGCGGGGGAUAACUAUUGGAAACGAUAGCUAAUACCGCAUAAAAUUGAUUAUUGCAUGAUAAUUAAUUGAAAGAUGCAAUUGCAUCACUACCAGAUGGACCUGCGUUGUAUUAGCUAGUUGGUGAGGUAACGGCUCACCAAGGCGACGAUACAUAGCCGACCUGAGAGGGUGAUCGGCCACACUGGGACUGAGACACGGCCCAGACUCCUACGGGAGGCAGCAGUAGGGAAUCUUCGGCAAUGGGGGGAACCCUGACCGAGCAACGCCGCGUGAGUGAAGAAGGUUUUCGGAUCGUAAAGCUCUGUUGUAAGAGAAGAACGGGUGUGAGAGUGGAAAGUUCACACUGUGACGGUAUCUUACCAGAAAGGACGGCU
Molecule: ribosomal RNA, 487 nt
Filed under: Streptococcus sanguinis
Lineage: Bacteria; Bacillati; Bacillota; Bacilli; Lactobacillales; Streptococcaceae
Description: bacterial SSU rRNA
Rfam family: Bacterial small subunit ribosomal RNA
Source: RNAcentral